Eurytemora carolleeae is the source of this 144-nucleotide long non-coding RNA. RefSeq lists it as uncharacterized. The record is from RefSeq and is a predicted model, not a curated record. NCBI's taxonomy places the organism in Eukaryota, Metazoa, Arthropoda, Copepoda, Calanoida, Temoridae. The transcript is spliced from 3 exons.
UGAAACAACCCUGCAGGAUUUGUUGAAGAUGACAACAUUACAACUAAACCAACAAAUAGAAUGUUUGGGACAGGAAGAAGGAUUAACAGAUGAAAGAAUAGAGCAAUUAAAGAUUGAUUACAAUGAACUGAGAAGAAAUUUAAG